RNAcentral lists this ribosomal RNA (253 nucleotides) under uncultured bacterium. Its description in RNAcentral is "partial 16S ribosomal RNA". It matches the Rfam family "Bacterial small subunit ribosomal RNA", at positions 524 to 776 of the family's 1533-position model. The record is from RNAcentral.
UACAGAGGGUGCGAGCGUUAAUCGGAAUUACCGGGCGUAAAGCGCACGUAGGUGGCGACGUAAGUCGGGUGUGAAAGCCCCGGGCUCAACCUGGGAAUUGCAUUCGAGACUGCAUUGCUGGAGUACGGAAGAGGAAGGCGGAAUUCCCGGUGUAGCGGUGAAAUGCGUAGAUAUCGGGAGGAACAUCAGUGGCGAAGGCGGCCUUCUGGUCCAGUACUGACACUCAAGUGCGAAAGCGUGGGGAGCAAACAGG